This 629-nucleotide ribosomal RNA is filed under the name uncultured Russulaceae. Its description in RNAcentral is "LSU rRNA". It matches the Rfam family "Eukaryotic large subunit ribosomal RNA", at positions 47 to 649 of the family's 3401-position model. Lineage: Eukaryota; Fungi; Basidiomycota; Agaricomycetes; Russulales; Russulaceae. The record is from RNAcentral.
UAAGCGGAGGAAAAGAAACUAACAAGGAUUCCCCUAGUAACUGCGAGUGAAGCGGGAAAAGCUCAAAUUUAAAAUCUGGUGGUCUUUGGCCAUCCGAGUUGUAAUUUAGAGAAGCGUCUUCCGCGCUGGACCGUGCACAAGUCUCCUGGAAUGGAGCGUCAUAGGGGGUGAGAAUCCCGUCUUUGGCAUGGAAUCCCAGGGCUUCUGUGAUGCGCUCUCGACGAGUCGAGUUGUUUGGGAAUGCAGCUCAAAAUGGGUGGUGAACUCCAUCUAAAGCUAAAUAUUGGCGAGAGACCGAUAGCGAACAAGUACCGUGAGGGAAAGAUGAAAAGCACUUUGGAAAGAGAGUGAAACAGUACGUGAAAUUGUUGAAAGGGAAACGCUUGAAGUCAGUCGCGUCGACCGAGACUCAGCCUUGCCUCGGCUUGGUGUACUUCUCGGCUGACGGGUCAGCAUCGAUUUCGAUCCUCGGAUAAUGGCAAGGGAAAGGUAGCACCUUUUUAGGUGUGUUAUAGUCCUCUGUCGCAUGCGAGGGUCGGGAUCGAGGAACUCAGCACGCACCUCAGGGUGUCGGGGCCUUGGCCCACGUUUACGUGCUUAGGAUGCUGGCGUAAUGGCUUUAAACGACC